Callithrix jacchus (white-tufted-ear marmoset) is the source of this 394-nucleotide long non-coding RNA. RefSeq lists it as uncharacterized. The record is from RefSeq and is a predicted model, not a curated record. NCBI's taxonomy places the organism in Eukaryota, Metazoa, Chordata, Mammalia, Primates, Cebidae.
GAACCACAGUAAUUAUGUCGGAUGAGUGUGCGUAAAGUGGCCUAGCAGCUUGACUAACCUGGAAAAUCAGCAAGAGUUAGCCAUCUUGAGGAAGACACAAAAGGCUGAAGAAUGCCCAGCCCUCCAUGAGGAUGACGAGGACUGGAAGAUGUGUUUCAGCAGCAACCUGCCGGGCCAUCCUGUAAAUCCUUGUGUGCAGGACACUGUACUUAUGGAUGCCAGGAGAGCCAGCCCUGCCCAUCUCAGGCCAAGGUUUCCACUGUGCAGGUUCAAGUGAUUCUCCUGCCUCGGCCUCUGGAGUAGCUGGGAUUACAGACAUCUGCCACCACAGGCAGGUAAAUUUUAUAUUUUUAGACAAGGUUUUGCCAUGUUGGCCAGGCUGGUCUCAAAGUCC